Molecule: ribosomal RNA, 253 nt
Filed under: uncultured bacterium
Lineage: Bacteria
Description: partial 16S ribosomal RNA
Rfam family: Bacterial small subunit ribosomal RNA
Source: RNAcentral
UACGAACCGUGCGAACGUUGUUCGGAAUCACUGGGCUUAAAGGGCGCGUAGGCGGCUCGACAAGUCGGGGGUGAAAUCUUUCGGCUCAACCGGAAAAGGGCCUCCGAUACUGUCGAGCUCGAGGGAGGUAGGGGCGGACGGAACUUCCGGUGGAGCGGUGAAAUGCGUUGAUAUCGGAAGGAACGCCGGUGGCGAAAGCGGUCCGCUGGCCCUCUACUGACGCUGAGGCGCGAAAGCCAGGGGAGCAAACGGG